GGCAGUAUAGUGUAAUGGUAGCACCUUGGACUCUGAAUCCAACAGUUCGAGUUCGACUCUCGAUACUGCUU
Molecule: transfer RNA, 71 nt
Filed under: Amorphochlora amoebiformis
Lineage: Eukaryota; Cercozoa; Chlorarachniophyceae
Description: tRNA-Gln
Rfam family: tRNA
About the family: Transfer RNA (tRNA) molecules are approximately 80 nucleotides in length. Their secondary structure includes four short double-helical elements and three loops (D, anti-codon, and T loops).
Source: RNAcentral